RNAcentral lists this ribosomal RNA (910 nucleotides) under uncultured bacterium. RNAcentral describes it as "bacterial SSU rRNA". It matches the Rfam family "Bacterial small subunit ribosomal RNA", at positions 33 to 934 of the family's 1533-position model. The record is from RNAcentral.
ACGCUGGCUACAGGCUUAACACAUGCAAGUCGAGGGGAAACGACGGGGAAGCUUGCUUCCUUGGGCGUCGACCGGCGCACGGGUGAGUAACGCGUAUCCAACCUGCCUCUGACUGAGGGAUAACCCGUCGAAAGUCGGCCUAAUACCUCAUGGUAUCGUCUGCGGGCAUCCAAUGACGAUUAAAGAUUUCAUCGGUCAGGGAUGGGGAUGCGUCUGAUUAGCUUGUUGGCGGGGUAACGGCCCACCAAGGCGACGAUCAGUAGGGGUUCUGAGAGGAAGGUCCCCCACAUUGGAACUGAGACACGGUCCAAACUCCUACGGGAGGCAGCAGUGAGGAAUAUUGGUCAAUGGGCGAGAGCCUGAACCAGCCAAGUAGCGUGCAGGAUGACGGCCCUAUGGGUUGUAAACUGCUUUUAUGCGGGGAUAAAGUGAGGGACGUGUCCUUCAUUGCAGGUACCGCAUGAAUAAGGACCGGCUAAUUCCGUGCCAGCAGCCGCGGUAAUACGGAAGGUCCGGGCGUUAUCCGGAUUUAUUGGGUUUAAAGGGAGCGUAGGCCGUGGAUUAAGCGUGUUGUGAAAUGCAGGUGCUCAACGUCUGCACUGCAGCGCGAACUGGUCCACUAGAGUGUGCACAACGCAGGCGGAAUUCGUCGUGUAGCGGUGAAAUGCUUAGAUAUGACGAAGAACUCCGAUUGCGAAGGCAGCUUGCGGGAGCACAACUGACGCUGAAGCUCGAAAGUGCGGGUAUCGAACAGGAUUAGAUACCCUGGUAGUCCGCACGGUAAACGAUGGAUGCCCGUUGUCAGGCUGUUUCAGCCUGGUGACCAAGCGAAAGCAUUAAGCAUCCCACCUGGGGAGUACGCCGGCAACGGUGAAACUCAAGGAAUUGACGGGGGCCCGCACAAGCGGAG